UACGGAGGGUGCAAGCGUUAAUCGGAAUUACUGGGCGUAAAGCGCACGCAGGUGGCUGAGAUAGUCGAUUGUGAAAGCCCUGGGCUUAACCUGGGAAUUGCAUUCGAUACUACUCGGCUAGAGUAUGAGAGAGGGCAGUGGAAUUCCCGGUGUAGCGGUGAAAUGCGUAGAUAUCUGGAGGAAUACCGGUGGCGAAGGCGGCAUCCUGGACCGAGAUUGACACUGAUGAGCGAAAGCCAGGGGAGCAAACGGG
RNAcentral lists this ribosomal RNA (253 nucleotides) under uncultured bacterium. RNAcentral describes it as "partial 16S ribosomal RNA". It matches the Rfam family "Bacterial small subunit ribosomal RNA", at positions 524 to 776 of the family's 1533-position model. The record is from RNAcentral.